CCUACGGGUGGCAGCAGUGAGGAAUAUUGGUCAAUGGACGAGAGUCUGAACCAGCCAAGUAGCGUGAAGGAUGACUGCCCCAUGGGUUGUAAACUUCUUUUAUAUGGGAAUAAAAUGUUCCACGUGUGGGAUUUUGUAUGUACCAUAUGAAUAAGGAUCGGCUAACUCCGUGCCAGCAGCCGCGGUACUACGGAGGAUCCGAGCGUUAUCCGGAUUUAUUGGGUUUAAAGGGAGCGUAGGUGGAUUGUUAAGUCAGUUGUGAAAGUUUGCGGCUCAACCGUAAAAUUGCAGUUGAAACUGGCAGUCUUGAGUACAGUAGAGGUGGGCGGAAUUCGUGGUGUAGCGGUGAAAUGCUUAGAUAUCACGAAGAACUCCGAUUGCGAAGGCAGUUCACUGGACUGCAACUGACACUGAGGCUCGAAAGUGUGGGUAUCAAACAGGAUUAGUACCCCUGUAGUC
This 459-nucleotide ribosomal RNA is filed under the name uncultured bacterium. RNAcentral's name for it is "partial 16S ribosomal RNA". It matches the Rfam family "Bacterial small subunit ribosomal RNA", at positions 338 to 795 of the family's 1533-position model. The record is from RNAcentral.